RNAcentral lists this ribosomal RNA (2882 nucleotides) under Flavobacteriales bacterium. RNAcentral describes it as "23S ribosomal RNA". It matches the Rfam family "Bacterial large subunit ribosomal RNA". Lineage: Bacteria; Pseudomonadati; Bacteroidota; Flavobacteriia; Flavobacteriales. The record is from RNAcentral.
AAAAAAGUUACUUAAGAGCGUAUGGCGAAUGCCUAGGCUCACAGAGGCGAUGAAGGACGUGAUAAGCUGCGAUAAGUUUCGGGUAGGUGCAAAUAACCGUCUGAUCCGAGAAUUUCCGAAUGGGGCAACCCAACAAGUUGAAGACUUGUUAUCCUUUUAGGAAGCGAACCCAGGGAACUGAAACAUCUAAGUACCUGGAGGAAGAGAAAACAAUAGUGAUUCCCUUAGUAGCGGCGAGCGAAAUGGGAAUAGCCCAAACCAAUUUUGUUACGGCAAAAUUGGGGUUGUAGGACUACAUUGGUUCAUGUAUGCUGAAGUAGAAUAUACUGGAAAGUAUAACCAUAGAGGGUGAUAGUCCCGUAAACGUAAAGUCAUAUUAUGACGAGUAGUAUCCUGAGUAGCGCGGAACAUGUGAAAUUUUGUGUGAAUCUGCCGGAACCAUCCGGUAAGGCUAAAUACUCCUGUGAGACCGAUAGUGAACUAGUACCGUGAGGGAAAGGUGAAAAGUACCCUGAACAAGGGAGUGAAAUAGAAUCUGAAACCGUACGCUUACAAGCGGUCGGAGCCCAUUUUGGGUGACGGCGUGCCUUUUGCAUAAUGAUCCUACGAGUUACUCCUCUCUAGCAAGGUUAAAGACUUAAGGUCUGGAGCCGGAGCGAAAGCAAGUCUGAAUAGGGCGAAUUAGUUAGAGGGGGUAGACGCGAAACCGAGUGAGCUACCCAUGGGCAGGUUGAAGCUUCGUUAACCCGGAGUGGAGGACCGAACCAGUACACGUUGAAAAGUGUUUGGAUGACCUGUGGGUAGGGGUGAAAGGCCUAUCAAACUCGGAGAUAGCUCGUACUCCCCGAAAUGCAUUUAGGUGCAGCGUUGAGUUAGAGUAUCAUAGAGGUAGAGCUACUGAUUGGAUGCGGGGGCUUCACCGCCUACCAAAUCUAGACAAACUCCGAAUGCUAUGAUAUGUUUCUCAGCAGUGAGGGCAUGGGUGCUAAGGUCCAUGUCCGAGAGGGAAACAACCCAGAUCAUCAGCUAAGGUCCCUAAAUUAUAAUUAAGUUGCAGAAAACGAGGUUUAAUUGCUUAGACAGCUAGGAUGUUGGCUUGGAAGCAGCCAUUCAUUUAAAGAGUGCGUAACAGCUCACUAGUCGAGCGAUUGAGCAUGGAUAAUAACCGGGCAUAAAUUAUAUACCGAAGCUAUGAACUUUUAUUUAUAAAAGUGGUAGGGGAGCAUUCUAAAUACACUGAAGGUAAACUGCGAAGUUUACUGGAGUGUUUAGAAAAGAAAAUGUAGGAAUAAGUAACGAUAAAGCGGGUGAGAAACCCGCUCACCAAUAGACUAAGGUUUCCUGAUCAACGCUAAUCGGAUCAGGGUUAGUCGGGGCCUAAGGCGAACCCGAAAGGGGUAGUCGAUGGAUAACGGGUUAAUAUUCCCGUACUACCAUAUAUUGCGAUGUGGUGACGAAGGAGUGAAAGUCUCGCGUACUGACGGAAUAGUACGUUGAAGAGGAGUAGGUAUUAAAAAAAUAGGUAAAUCCGUUUUUUUAGCCGAACCUUGAUAGUACCAUGAGUCUUCGGACAAGUGGAUAGUAGACCUAAACAGACUUCCAAGAAAAACCGCUAAGCUUCAGAUAUAUGGUACCCGUACCGUAAACCGACACAGGUAGUCAAGUAGAGAAUACUAAGGUGCUCGAGUGAUUCGUGGCUAAGGAACUAGGCAAAAUGGUCUCGUAACUUCGGGAGAAGAGACGCCACUUUUUAAGUGGCCGCAGUGAAUUGGUCCAGGCGACUGUUUAGCAAAAACACAGGACUCUGCAAAAUCGAAAGAUGAAGUAUAGGGUCUGACACCUGCCCGGUGCCGGAAGGUUAAGAGGGGAUGUUAUCCUUUAGGAGAAGCAUUGAAUUGAAGCCCCGGUAAACGGCGGCCGUAACUAUAACGGUCCUAAGGUAGCGAAAUUCCUUGUCGGGUAAGUUCCGACCUGCACGAAUGGUGUAACGAUCUGGACACUGUCUCAGCCACGAGCUCGGUGAAAUUGUAGUAUCGGUGAAGAUGCCGAUUAACCGCUACGGGACGGAAAGACCCCGUGAACCUUCACUACAACUUAGUGUUGACUUUGAACAAAUGAUGUGUAGGAUAGGUGGGAGACUUUGAAGCAUUGCCGCUAGGCAGUGUGGAGUUGUCCUUGAAAUACCACCCUUCAUUUGUUUAGAGCCUAACCCCAAAAGGGGACAGCGCUUGGUGGGUAGUUUGACUGGGGUGGUCGCCUCCAAAAGAGUAACGGAGGCUUCUAAAGGUACCCUCAGCACGCUUGGUAACCGUGCGUAGAGUGCAAUGGCAUAAGGGUGCUUGACUGAGAGACUUACAAGUCGACCAGGUAGGAAACUAGAGCAUAGUGAUCCGGUGGUUCCGCAUGGAAGGGCCAUCGCUCAAAGGAUAAAAGGUACUCCGGGGAUAACAGGCUGAUCUCCCCCAAGAGCUCAUAUCGACGGGGGGGUUUGGCACCUCGAUGUCGGCUCGUCACAUCCUGGGGCUGGAGAAGGUCCCAAGGGUUGGGCUGUUCGCCCAUUAAAGUGGCACGCGAGCUGGGUUCAGAACGUCGCGAGACAGUUCGGUCCCUAUCUGUAGUGGUCGUUAGAAAUUUGAGAGGAUCUGCUCCUAGUACGAGAGGACCGGAGUGGACUGACCUCUAGUGUACCUGUUGUGACGCCAGUUGCAUCGCAGGGUAGCUAUGUCGGGAAUGGAUAAGCGCUGAAAGCAUAUAAGUGCGAAGCCAACCUCAAGAUGAGAUUUCUUUUAAGGGUUGUUCAAGACUAGGACGUUGAUAGGUUGCAGGUGUAAAGAUGGUAACAUCAUAGCCGAGCAAUACUAAUUACCCAUAGACUUUUUUCG